AGAUUGAACGCUGGCGGCAUGCCUUACACAUGCAAGUCGAACGGUAGAGUAGCAAUACUCGAGAGUGGCGAACGGGUGAGUAAUAUAUCGGAACGUGCCCAGUCGUGGGGGAUAACGUAGAGAAAUUUACGCUAAUACCGCAUACGAUCUACGGAUGAAAGCGGGGGACUCGCAAGAGCCUCGCGCGAUUGGAGCGGCUGAUAUCAGAUUAGGUUGUUGGUGAGGUAAAAGCUCACCAAGCCGACGAUCUGUAGCUGGUUUGAGAGAACGACCAGCCACACUGGGACUGAGACACGGCCCAGACUCCUACGGGAGGCAGCAGUGGGAAUUUUGGACAAUGGGCGAAAGCCUGAUCCAGCAAUGCCGCGUGCAGGAAGAAGGCCUUGGUGUAACGUGCUUUGUACGAACGAAAGGACUCUUACUAAUAAAGAAGGACCGACUGACGGUACCGUAACGAAUAAGACACCGGACCUAACUACGUACGACACGACGACGCGACGUACUACG
RNAcentral lists this ribosomal RNA (507 nucleotides) under uncultured soil bacterium. Its description in RNAcentral is "bacterial SSU rRNA". It matches the Rfam family "Bacterial small subunit ribosomal RNA", at positions 26 to 527 of the family's 1533-position model. The record is from RNAcentral.